RNAcentral lists this long non-coding RNA (360 nucleotides) under Brassica rapa (field mustard). Its description in RNAcentral is "long non-coding RNA (BRAP_LNC007443)". The record is from RNAcentral. Lineage: Eukaryota; Viridiplantae; Streptophyta; Magnoliopsida; Brassicales; Brassicaceae.
AAACUCUUCAGCAUUCCGAUAUAGAUCAAGAGUAUGAACUAUCAUAUCGGUAACAACGAACCUACGGAUUCCAGUCUAUAUAGAAAAAGAAAGAAGAGGUAGUUAUUAUCAUACAAAAAGAAACCAAGUAUAAGUUACAUUUACUUACCGGAAGUGGUAUUGCCGGGGGCCAUAAAAACUGAGCAAACAAUCUUUGAUAAUCAUCUUCCAGGACCAUACCCUCAUACAUCAGGAAGGGCUUAACCGAUUCGAGGAAAUGGAUGCCAAACGUGUCUGUUAGCGUAGAAAACUCUCUCAUGUACUGGACCAAGUAUGUCACGGAGAGAGACUCUGCACCAAUCAAGUUCGCAAUGCGACAAG